AGGAUACCCAAUUCAAUUUGAAUUUCACAUCAACAACAAAUAAUUGUGUAGUAUAAGUAUAUCCCAUGCAAUAUUUGGGAUAUACUUAUACUAAAAAGGUACUUGGUUUUUAUUUGAAAUUUAAAUGCACCUGAGCAUUUUGUA
MicroRNA precursor from Chlorocebus sabaeus (green monkey), 144 nucleotides. The record is from Ensembl. Lineage: Eukaryota; Metazoa; Chordata; Mammalia; Primates; Cercopithecidae.